UUCAUGAGGAUUUAGGUUCUCUGUCAGGUCUCUGCAUUCUGUGAGGAACUAGAUUUAUGAAAAACUAUUGUGAUUCACGAGUGUGAAGGAACUUUAAAUAAACGUGGAUGAUGCCGUCAUAAUAUAUGCAGCUGGGGACUUAAAGUGUACUUAAGGUUACAGGCUUGGAGGAGGAGGUAGGGGCAGCUGACUUCUACAGGUAGAAAAAUUAUUUGUGUGACAGCAGGUUGACCACACCCUGCUUGGACCCCUGUGGCCCCAUUCACUCCAUCCAGCCACGGCAGGCCAAGGGGAAGGCAUGACAGACUCACCUUCAGGUGGAUGGGGAAGGGCCGCUCUUGCUGGAGAGGCCCAAGCAGAGUCUGCUCCACGCUGACCAGCUCCGAGGUCGAGUCCACCACUCGGGCCAGAGCGCUGCGCAUCGCCAUCCGCGCCAAGUUCCCGCAGGUACUGACAUCCCAGUAUGCAGAAAUGGCGUGGAGGAAGAGUUGGCACCACAAAGGAAGAGUUGACUGUUUUGUGCGGAAGGACUCAGGCAGCAAGGUCAAAGAUCAAUCCUCUUACGCAUGAACCUCAGGACAGCUGUACAAAUACCCAUUUUUAAUUACACCAAACAUGGCUGUCUCCUUUAAGUGAUGUGAAAGGACUGUUAAUUUUAAUCUUUUUAGAUUGGCAGUCAUCAGUGGUUUUUGUUUUGUUUUGUUUUGUGAAGGGGGGAGGGGUUGGUUUGGUUUGGUUGUUGUUUUUAAAGGCAUUUGGAGGGAAUAGUGAGGAAAACUAUCCCAGAAAGCAUCUUUUCUUUUUUUUCCUGCUUUCUUCUUGUAAGGAGAAUCCAACGAUCCAGCAAAGGCAAGGGCACGGAGGAGUGAAGAAUCGUGGGUGAACUAGAGGCCCAGGCAGACCGCGGGUGUGUCCUGUCGAGUCAUUUCUGGAAGCUCCUGGAUGGAAAAGCCAUGGCUUUGGUGCUGUCAGCACAGCAGAGUGCCAUUCCAGACAACAGGACAGGAGGUACUGGACAGAGCAGAACCUCAGCCCUCUUCGACACAACACUGAUUCUCAGAGCCAUGAGACAACUGAACUUCCAGAAGUCCAUGAGAUGAGGGCCAGAAAACCACAGGGCGUGAGGGGUGAUACCUCUUACUGAAAGAGGGCCUGGUGGCUCUUCCAGCAAAGCUCUUCCUCUAUCCAACCGUGAGUCACAUUUGUGUUUGGUGUGAUCUCAAAAUGGCUUAUGGCCCAAAGCUGGAGAUCAAAGACCCUAAGGGAAAGGCUUCAUGGGGUAUUGACACGACAUUAAUAGUGUUAGCAGAUCUGUCCUUGGUCUGAAGCAUCUGCAAGAGUUGACUCUGCUGGGCCAUCGGACCAUGUGCACACCCACACCCAGUGUGUAUCUCAUCUGAAACAUUGAAAGAAGUGUUCAUUCAAGAGCACAAAACGGUGCACAUCCAGUAUUUUUGUUUAAGUGUCUAUUUGAGUAUUUUAUGGAACCUAUGUUCUCAUUGCUCAAUGGAUACUCUUCAUCUUCCAUGUUCAGCCCAUAGGCUCGAUAAAGCAAACUGAUCCAAGUUGUAAAAGAAAGAGAUUUGGGUCAUCCAGGCUGCAGCCAAUUCCACACCACCUUCCCAUGGUGAGUGGUCAGGAGCCAUUUAGAAUGCUUUCGGUUGAAUGCACUGUAAAAGAUAAAACAACUUCACAGUAUAGGCCAGGAGGUCACACAAGCAGCAAAGAACACUUCCUCUUUCCAUAAGAAAGUGUAACACAAAAGGAUUUAAUCAACAAGAAUUUAUUGUCCCACAUAAUAAGAAGUCUGAAGGCGGCUCUCACACUGAUCAAUACUUGAGUUCUGGGGUGUCAUCAACGCCCUAGGCUCUUUCCAUCUUUUUGAGAGAUGAUCCUCAGGAUAUCGACUUUGUCUUUUGUGCUUGGUUCUUGGGUUACUUUAACCACUAAAUAGUGACAAUGGCUGCUGGCCUUGCCUCUGGACAACAACCUCUAAGCCAAGAGGUUAUUUCUUCUUCAGUAACCUUUCUCAAGUGCAGGGAGAUGCUUCAUAAAAAGCUCCAGCUGUCUUCCUCUACAUCUUGGCCGAAAUUGUAGAACAUAUUUGUGUCAAGGCAAUUAUAGUUGAGAGAAAAAGGGCCAAGAUAAGAAUGAACCAAAAUUCAGUCCUGAAGCACAUGCAUGUAAGGUGGAUGGAGAAUACCCAAUAGGAAUCAGGGUUCUGUUACCAAGCAACAGCAGUGGCAACCAAAUACCCGGAAGCUUUAGCAGUGUCCCUGGGAAAGGACACAUCUGAUCUCCAGGGUCUCUCCUAUUUCCAGAUAUACAAGAAGCAAAGUAUCACGAGGCUAACCCUUCCACUACAAAUGAGUGACUGAUGUCCCUUGUACAAGAGAAACCGAGGAGGUAUGUGUUGUGGAGCCUCUGUAGCUAUCCUGUGAGUUUGAGGGGAGAGCUUGCCUAUGAAUAACUCAAUACCAAAGAAAAAAGCCAAAAUAUCUGGAGAGAAAAUCAGGAGUCCUUAUAGUAGCACCAUUUGCAGCCUGCACAGAGAUGCUCAUGAAGACAGCCCCACUCCUGAGCUGUUUGGUUACAGAAGACAAGAAAGUAUCUUUUUAGUUUGACCCACUUUGGGUUUAAUUUAUUAGAACAGAAGGAAUCAUAAUGUAAACAAACAACAUAAUAUAUCACUGAAAAAGUAGCAGGUCAAUUUCACUGACCUUGUGACCCAGCACGCGGUUAACUAAAUGCUACUGAGUACAUCCUAUCAACCAGCUCCACAAUACUUUUGCCAUCCCCUGACCUUUGCAGGUUAAAGCUCUUGGAGCAACUCCCAUCUUCCCCAUAGCCCAUGAGAAACUUUCAAUUGACCACUGAGAUCAUUGAGACUCUUGUGGAUGAGAGAUGAGAAUAAAAAGGGGCUAAAAAGUUCAGUGAGUGAGCAACAAUGCCCCACCUGCCAAUGGACAAGGAGGGCUACUACAUGAACAGAAGUCCAGCUCUUCUUUUAUCACAAAGGUUCACAGACUCCUUUCCCACAUGAGCCAAAGAUGCCAGUGCUCAUGCAGGAUGUUUGAGAAGCUGGGCUCAGAAAGGAUAGAAGGGAAC
This is a long non-coding RNA of Peromyscus eremicus (cactus mouse), 3108 nucleotides long. RefSeq lists it as uncharacterized. The record is from RefSeq and is a predicted model, not a curated record. NCBI's taxonomy places the organism in Eukaryota, Metazoa, Chordata, Mammalia, Rodentia, Cricetidae. The transcript is spliced from 4 exons.